RNAcentral lists this ribosomal RNA (710 nucleotides) under Bacillus anthracis (anthrax bacterium). Its description in RNAcentral is "bacterial SSU rRNA". It matches the Rfam family "Bacterial small subunit ribosomal RNA", at positions 75 to 772 of the family's 1533-position model. The record is from RNAcentral. Lineage: Bacteria; Bacillati; Bacillota; Bacilli; Caryophanales; Bacillaceae.
CUUGCUCUUAUGAAGUUAGCGGCGGACGGGUGAGUAACACGUGGGUAACCUGCCCAUAAGACUGGGAUAACUCCGGGAAACCGGGGCUAAUACCGGAUAACAUUUUGAACCGCAUGGUUCGAAAUUGAAAGGCGGCUUCGGCUGUCACUUAUGGAUGGACCCGCGUCGCAUUAGCUAGUUGGUGAGGUAACGGCUCACCAAGGCAACGAUGCGUAGCCGACCUGAGAGGGUGAUCGGCCACACUGGGACUGAGACACGGCCCAGACUCCUACGGGAGGCAGCAGUAGGGAAUCUUCCGCAAUGGACGAAAGUCUGACGGAGCAACGCCGCGUGAGUGAUGAAGGCUUUCGGGUCGUAAAACUCUGUUGUUAGGGAAGAACAAGUGCUAGUUGAAUAAGCUGGCACCUUGACGGUACCUAACCAGAAAGCCACGGCUAACUACGUGCCAGCAGCCGCGGUAAUACGUAGGUGGCAAGCGUUAUCCGGAAUUAUUGGGCGUAAAGCGCGCGCAGGUGGUUUCUUAAGUCUGAUGUGAAAGCCCACGGCUCAACCGUGGAGGGUCAUUGGAAACUGGGAGACUUGAGUGCAGAAGAGGAAAGUGGAAUUCCAUGUGUAGCGGUGAAAUGCGUAGAGAUAUGGAGGAACACCAGUGGCGAAGGCGACUUUCUGGUCUGUAACUGACACUGAGGCGCGAAAGCGUGGGGAGCAAA